Molecule: ribosomal RNA, 468 nt
Filed under: uncultured bacterium
Lineage: Bacteria
Description: partial 16S ribosomal RNA
Rfam family: Bacterial small subunit ribosomal RNA
Source: RNAcentral
GACGAACGCUGGCGGCGUGCUUAACACAUGCAAGUCGAACGGAAAGGCCCUGCUUUUGUGGGGUGCUCGAGUGGCGAACGGGUGAGUAACACGUGAGUAACCUGCCCUUGACUUUGGGAUAACUUCAGGAAACUGGGGCUAAUACCGGAUAGGAGCUCCUGCUGCAUGGUGGGGGUUGGAAAGUUUCGGCGGUUGGGGAUGGACUCGCGGCUUAUCAGCUUGUUGGUGGGGUAGUGGCUUACCAAGGCUUUGACGGGUAGCCGGCCUGAGAGGGUGACCGGCCACAUUGGGACUGAGAUACGGCCCAGACUCCUACGGGAGGCAGCAGUGGCGAAUAUUGCACAAUGGGCGGAAGCCUGAUGCAGCAACGCCGCGUGCGGGAUGACGGCCUUCGGGUUGUAACCCGCUUUCGCCUGUGACGAAGCGUGAGUGACGGUAAUGGGUAAAGAAGCACCGGCUAACUACGUG